UACGAGUGCCUCGAGCGUUAUCCGGAAUCAUUGGGCGUAAAGGGUGUGUAGGUGGUACUGUUAGUCUCCUGUAAAAUCUUUCGGCUCAACCGAGAGUCUGCGGGGGAAACGGCAGUACUUCGAGGACGGGAGAGGUCUCUGGAACUCAUGGUGUAGCGGUGAAAUGCGUUGAUAUCAUGGGGAACACCAAAAGCGAAGGCAAGAGACUGGCCCGCUCCUGACACUGAAACACGAAAGCGUGGGUCGCGAAUGGG
Molecule: ribosomal RNA, 254 nt
Filed under: uncultured bacterium
Lineage: Bacteria
Description: partial 16S ribosomal RNA
Rfam family: Bacterial small subunit ribosomal RNA
Source: RNAcentral